GAUGAACGCUGGCGGCGUGCCUAAUACAUGCAAGUCGAGCGAACAGACGAGGAGCUUGCUCCUCUGACGUUAGCGGCGGACGGGUGAGUAACACGUGGAUAACCUACCUAUAAGACUGGGAUAACUUCGGGAAACCGGAGCUAAUACCGGAUAAUAUAUUGAACCGCAUGGUUCAAUAGUGAAAGACGGUUUUGCUGUCACUUAUAGAUGGAUCCGCGCCGCAUUAGCUAGUUGGUAAGGUAACGGCUUACCAAGGCAACGAUGCGUAGCCGACCUGAGAGGGUGAUCGGCCACACUAGAACUGAGACACGGUCCAGACUCCUACGGGAGGAAGCAGUAGGGAAUCUUACGCAAUGGGGGAGAGCUGGACGGAGCAACGCCGCGUGAGUGAUGAAGGUCUUAGGAUCGUAAAACUCUGUUAUCAGGGAAGAACAAAUGUGUAAGUACCUAUGCACGUAUUGACGGUACCUAAUCAGAAAGCCACGGCUAACUACGUG
This 497-nucleotide ribosomal RNA is filed under the name uncultured bacterium. RNAcentral's name for it is "partial 16S ribosomal RNA". It matches the Rfam family "Bacterial small subunit ribosomal RNA", at positions 28 to 507 of the family's 1533-position model. The record is from RNAcentral.